Molecule: ribosomal RNA, 253 nt
Filed under: Roseburia intestinalis L1-82
Lineage: Bacteria; Bacillati; Bacillota; Clostridia; Lachnospirales; Lachnospiraceae
Description: partial 16S ribosomal RNA
Rfam family: Bacterial small subunit ribosomal RNA
Source: RNAcentral
UACGUAUGGUGCAAGCGUUAUCCGGAUUUACUGGGUGUAAAGGGAGCGCAGGCGGUACGGCAAGUCUGAUGUGAAAGCCCGGGGCUCAACCUCGGUACUGCAUUGGAAACUGUCGGACUAGAGUGUCGGAGGGGUAAGUGGAAUUCCUAGUGUAGCGGUGAAAUGCGUAGAUAUUAGGAGGAACACCAGUGGCGAAGGCGGCUUACUGGACGAUUACUGACGCUGAGGCUCGAAAGCGUGGGGAGCAAACAGG